This 896-nucleotide ribosomal RNA is filed under the name uncultured archaeon. RNAcentral describes it as "bacterial SSU rRNA". It matches the Rfam family "Archaeal small subunit ribosomal RNA", at positions 21 to 903 of the family's 1478-position model. The record is from RNAcentral.
CCCGACUGCUAUUUGGGUGAGAAUAAGCCGUGCAAGUCGAAUGGGAUACCUAAAUUUCCCAUGGCAAACUGCUCAGUAACACAUGAUCAACUUACCCUAUAGAGAAAAAUAACCUCGGGAAACUGAGGAUAAUUUUUCGUAGUUGAAUAGGCUUGGAAAAGUUAUUCAAUAAAAAGGAUAAGAAAAAUGGUUUUUAUCUGCUAUAGGAUAGGAUCGUGGACGAUUAUGGUUGUUGGUGAGGUAACGGCUCACCAAGCCGAUAAUCGUUAGGGGCCGUGAGAGCGGGAGCCCCGAGAUGGGUACUGAGACAACGACCCAGGCCUUACGAGGCGCAGCAGGCGCGGAACCUCCGCAAUACACGAAAGUGUGACGGGGUUACCCAAAGUGUUCAAUUCUGAACUGUGGUAGGUGAGUAAUGUCCCCUACUAGAAAGGAGAGGGCAAGGCUGGUGCCAGCCGCCGCGGUAAAACCAGCUCUUCAAGUGGUCGGGAUAAUUAUUGGGCUUAAAGUGUCCGUAGCCGGUUUAGUAAGUUCCUGGUAAAAUCGGGUAGCUUAACUAUCUGUAUGCUAGGAAUACUGCUAUACUAGAGGGCGGGAGAGGUCUGAGGUACUACAGGGGUAGGGGUGAAAUCUUAUAAUCCUUGUAGGACCACCAGUGGCGAAGGCGUCAGACUGGAACGUGCCUGACGGUGAGGGACGAAAGCCAGGGGAGCAAACCGGAUUAGAUACCCGGGUAGUCCUGGCCGUAAACGAUGCAUACUAGGUGAUGGCACGGCCAUGAGCCGUGUCAGUGCCGUAGGGAAACCGUUAAGUGUGCCGCCUGGGAAGUACGGUCGCAAGACUAAAGCUUAAAGGAAUUGGCGGGGGAGCACCACAAGGGGUGAAGCCUGCGGUUC